CACUCUUUUCAACCACUGGAUUUUGGACCCUAGCUAACAACUGCACUAACUGAUCGUUAAGAAUGGAGAUCUUUCUUUCAGGCCUCAAACUAAACGCUUCAGGAAUGCCGACUUGAUUUUUACACAGACUUCCCAUUCCUUUCUGCCACUUUACCCAAGCCAGGAGGCUACAAGGAGGCAAAUUCAAGGGUGCCUGUGCCUUGGGACCUCUGCAAAGCCAGGAAUGACAGCCUUUGGGAACCUCCACCAGGCCUGUCAGAUUCCUACAACACUUGAUUCUGUAAGUGUGAAAACGCAGCUGUCUGGGAGUAGCACGUGACAGCAAGGAUGCCGGGUGAUUGCUUUGAUUGCUUUGAUUGCUUUGGUUUCCCCUAGACCUGAGUCACUACAAAAGAAACCCGUUUUUCUGCCACUUUUCAUCUUCCAAUUUUAGGUCUCUUUACUGAUUCCCCAGAAAUUCAAUGAUUUAAAGCACAGAGUAGGCUGCAAGUAAUUUGAUUAUCAAGAGUAAAUUUCUUAACUCACUCCUGUGCACUCCCUGCAGAAGCUCCC
RNAcentral lists this long non-coding RNA (552 nucleotides) under Fukomys damarensis (Damara mole-rat). Its description in RNAcentral is "lncRNA (ENSFDAG00000024980.1)". The record is from RNAcentral. Lineage: Eukaryota; Metazoa; Chordata; Mammalia; Rodentia; Bathyergidae.